RNAcentral lists this microRNA precursor (101 nucleotides) under Lupinus angustifolius (narrow-leaved blue lupine). RNAcentral's name for it is "pre miRNA MIR477". Lineage: Eukaryota; Viridiplantae; Streptophyta; Magnoliopsida; Fabales; Fabaceae. The record is from RNAcentral.
GAGACCCCAAUACAUCUUGCAGGCAUAUACUAUAUCAAUAUAUCACAAUAUAUAUUGUGAUAUAUUGAUAUAGUAUAUGCCUGCAAGAUGUAUUGGGGUCU